This 301-nucleotide ribosomal RNA is filed under the name uncultured bacterium. RNAcentral's name for it is "partial 16S ribosomal RNA". It matches the Rfam family "Bacterial small subunit ribosomal RNA", at positions 509 to 808 of the family's 1533-position model. The record is from RNAcentral.
CAGCAGCCACGGUAAUACGUAGGUCCCGAGCGUUGUCCGGAUUUAUUGGGCGUAAAGGGAGCGCAGGCGGUCAGGAAAGUCUGGAGUAAAAGGCUAUGGCUCAACCAUAGUGUGCUCUGGAAACUGUCUGACUUGAGUGCAGAAGGGGAGAGUGGAAUUCCAUGUGUAGCGGUGAAAUGCGUAGAUAUAUGGAGGAACACCAGUGGCGAAAGCGGCUCUCUGGUCUGUCACUGACGCUGAGGCUCGAAAGCGUGGGUAGCGAACAGGAUUAGAUACCCCUGUAGUCCCUGUCUCUUAUACC